GGUUCAGAACGUCGUGAGACAGUUCGGUUUAUAUCCGGCAUGAUCGUUAGGAAUUUUGAGGAGAUCUACCCUUAGUACGAGAGGACCGGGGCGGACGAACCUCUAGUGUAUCGGUUGUGACCACCUGUUGCAUUGCCGAGUAGCUAUGUUCGGAAGAGAUAAGCGCUGAAAGCAUAUUAAGCGCGAAGCCCACUCCAAGAUUAGAAUUCCCUAUGAGCUCCCAGAGAGAAGAUCUGGUUGAUAGGUGCAAGAUGGAAGUAUCGUAAGAUAUGGAGUCGAAGCAUACUAAUAGAGCCAUCGCCUU
Molecule: ribosomal RNA, 304 nt
Filed under: Candidatus Saccharimonadota bacterium
Lineage: Bacteria; Candidatus Saccharimonadota
Description: partial 23S ribosomal RNA
Rfam family: Bacterial large subunit ribosomal RNA
Source: RNAcentral